AAAGGUUAACACUUUAGCCUUCCAAGCUAAUUAUGAGGGUUCAAGUCCCUUCAUCC
This 56-nucleotide transfer RNA is filed under the name Aurantiochytrium limacinum. RNAcentral describes it as "partial tRNA". It matches the Rfam family "tRNA", at positions 14 to 68 of the family's 71-position model. From Rfam's summary of the family: Transfer RNA (tRNA) molecules are approximately 80 nucleotides in length. The record is from RNAcentral. Lineage: Eukaryota; Bigyra; Thraustochytrida; Thraustochytriidae.